Molecule: ribosomal RNA, 253 nt
Filed under: uncultured bacterium
Lineage: Bacteria
Description: partial 16S ribosomal RNA
Rfam family: Bacterial small subunit ribosomal RNA
Source: RNAcentral
UACGAAGGGGGCUAGCGUUGCUCGGAAUGACUGGGCGUAAAGGGCGCGUAGGCGGCUUGCACAGUCAGGCGUGAAAUUCCUGGGCUCAACCUGGGGACUGCGCUUGAGACGUGUGGGCUUGAGUGGGGAAGAGGGUCGUGGAAUUCCCAGUGUAGAGGUGAAAUUCGUAGAUAUUGGGAAGAACACCGGUGGCGAAGGCGGCGACCUGGUCCUUGACUGACGCUGAGGCGCGAAAGCGUGGGGAGCGAACGGG